This 162-nucleotide ribosomal RNA is filed under the name Echinochloa crus-galli var. praticola. RNAcentral describes it as "5.8S ribosomal RNA". It matches the Rfam family "5.8S ribosomal RNA". From Rfam's summary of the family: 5.8S ribosomal RNA (5.8S rRNA) is a component of the large subunit of the eukaryotic ribosome. It is transcribed by RNA polymerase I as part of the 45S precursor that also contains 18S and 28S rRNA. The record is from RNAcentral. Lineage: Eukaryota; Viridiplantae; Streptophyta; Magnoliopsida; Poales; Poaceae.
CAUGACUCUCGGCAACGGAUAUCUCGGCUCUCGCAUCGAUGAAGAACGUAGCAAAAUGCGAUACCUGGUGUGAAUUGCAGAAUCCCGCGAACCAUCGAGUUUUUGAACGCAAGUUGCGCCCGAGGCCUUCUGGCCGAGGGCACGCCUGCCUGGGCGUCACGC